RNAcentral lists this ribosomal RNA (521 nucleotides) under Thelonectria westlandica. Its description in RNAcentral is "SSU rRNA". It matches the Rfam family "Eukaryotic small subunit ribosomal RNA", at positions 65 to 590 of the family's 1831-position model. The record is from RNAcentral. Lineage: Eukaryota; Fungi; Ascomycota; Sordariomycetes; Hypocreales; Nectriaceae.
AUAAGCAAUUAUACGGCGAAACUGCGAAUGGCUCAUUAUAUAAGUUAUCGUUUAUUUGAUAGUACCUUACUACUUGGACAACCGUGGUAAUUCUAGAGCUAAUACAUGCUAAAAAUCCCGACUUCGGAAGGGAUGUAUUUAUUAGAUUAAAAACCAAUGCCCUCCGGGGCUCCUUGGUGAUUCAUGAUAACUCCUCGAAUCGCACGGCCUUGCGCCGGCGAUGGCUCAUUCAAAUUUCUUCCCUAUCAACUUUCGAUGUUUGGGUCUUGGCCAAACAUGGUUGCAACGGGUAACGGAGGGUUAGGGCUCGACCCCGGAGAAGGAGCCUGAGAAACGGCUACUACAUCCAAGGAAGGCAGCAGGCGCGCAAAUUACCCAAUCCCGACUCGGGGAGGUAGUGACAAUAAAUACUGAUACAGGGCUCUUUUGGGUCUUGUAAUUGGAAUGAGUACAAUUUAAAUCCCUUAACGAGGAACAAUUGGAGGGCAAGUCUGGUGCCAGCAGCCGCGGUAAUUCCAGCU